CAGGGAAUCUUCGGCAAUGGACGAAAGUCUGACCGAGCAACGCCGCGUGAGUGAAGAAGGUUUUCGGUUCGUAAAACUCUGUUGUUAGAGAAGAACAAGGACGUUAGUAACUGAACGUCCCCUGCCGGUAUCUAACCAGAAAGCCACGGCUAACUACGCGCCAGCAGCCGCGGUAAUACGUAGGUGGCAAGCGUUGUCCGGAUUUAUUGGGCGUAAAGCGAGCGGAGGCGGUUUCUUAAGUCUGAUGUGAAAGCCCCCGGCUCAACCGGGGAGGGGCAGUGGAAACUGGGAGAGUGGAGGGCAGAAGAGGAGAGUGGAAUUCCAGGUGGAGCGGUGAAAUGAGUUAAUAUAAGGAGGAACACCAGUGGCGAAGGCGGGUCUCUGGGCGGUAACUGACGCUGGGGGACGGAAGGGUGGGGAGCAAACAGG
This 429-nucleotide ribosomal RNA is filed under the name Gemmatimonadota bacterium. RNAcentral's name for it is "Gemmatimonadetes bacterium partial 16S ribosomal RNA". It matches the Rfam family "Bacterial small subunit ribosomal RNA", at positions 355 to 776 of the family's 1533-position model. Lineage: Bacteria; Pseudomonadati; Gemmatimonadota. The record is from RNAcentral.